RNAcentral lists this ribosomal RNA (253 nucleotides) under uncultured bacterium. RNAcentral describes it as "partial 16S ribosomal RNA". It matches the Rfam family "Bacterial small subunit ribosomal RNA", at positions 524 to 776 of the family's 1533-position model. The record is from RNAcentral.
UACAGAGGGUGCAAGCGUUGUUCGGAAUUAUUGGGCGUAAAGGGAGUGUAGGCGGCUUGUUAAGUCUUCUGUGAAAUCUACGGGCUCAGCCUGUAACGUGCAGAGGAAACUGGCGAGCUUGAGUGUCGGAGAGGAUAGGGGAAUACCCGGUGUAGAGGUGAAAUUCGUAGAUAUUCGCAAGAACACCAGUGGCGAAGGCGGCUCACUGGCCCGGUACUGACGCUGAGGUGCGAAAGCGUGGGGAGCAAACAGG